RNAcentral lists this ribosomal RNA (578 nucleotides) under Leucosporidium muscorum. Its description in RNAcentral is "eukaryotic LSU rRNA". It matches the Rfam family "Eukaryotic large subunit ribosomal RNA", at positions 81 to 655 of the family's 3401-position model. Lineage: Eukaryota; Fungi; Basidiomycota; Microbotryomycetes; Leucosporidiales; Leucosporidiaceae. The record is from RNAcentral.
UAGUAACGGCGAGUGAAGCGGGAAGAAGCUCAAAUUUGUAAUCUGGCACUUUCAGUGUCCGAGUUGUAAUCUCGAGAAGUAUUUUCCGCGCCGGACUGCAUACAAGUCUGUUGGAAUACAGCGUCAUAGUGGUGAGAACCCCGUAACUGAUGCAGAUGCCCGGUGCUUUGUGAUAUACUUUCGAAGAGUCGAGUUGUUUGGGAAUGCAGCUCAAAUUGGGUGGUAAAUUCCAUCUAAAGCUAAAUAUUGGAGCAAGACCGAUAGCGAACAAGUACCGUGAGGGAAAGAUGAAAAGCACUUUGGAAAGAGAGUUAACAGUACGUGAAAUUGUUGGAAGGGAAACGCUUGAAGUCAGACUUGCUAUUCGGAGUUCAGCCGCAAGGUGUAUUCUUCGAUUUGCAGGCCAGCAUCAGUUUUCGGGGGUGGAAAAUCGUGGUUUGAAGGUAGCAACUUCGGUUGUGUUAUAGCUUUCCACUGGAUUCAUCUUUGGGGACUGAGGAACGCAGUACGCUUUUUGCAAGGCCCUCGGGCUUUUCGUACUUAGGAUGCUGGUGGAAUGGCUUUAAACGACCCGUCUU